Polyodon spathula (Mississippi paddlefish) is the source of this 853-nucleotide long non-coding RNA. RefSeq lists it as uncharacterized. NCBI's taxonomy places the organism in Eukaryota, Metazoa, Chordata, Actinopteri, Acipenseriformes, Polyodontidae. The record is from RefSeq and is a predicted model, not a curated record. The transcript has 3 exons.
UCUCUCUCUCUCUCUCUCUCUCUCUCUCUCUCUCUGUUUAACCGGUUCGUUCACUCCUGCAGGUUGUAAACACAGUACAGGUGUCUGUGGCUCCAAGCGUUAUUAAAAUCUAAGUGUCAGGAAGGGACAGACAGAUCGACACAGCGCCGGUUGUAAACACAGUACAGGUGUCUGUGGCUCCAAGCGUUAUUAAAAUCUAAGUGUCAGGAAGGGACAGACAGAUCGACACGGCGCCGGGUUUCGUCAAAACAGGAGAAGGGGAGAAGAAAAGGAGGAUGAAGGAAAAGAACACAAUAAAAGAAAGAUAGAAUCCCAGAUGUGUAUCGAUCCCUGUGCCAAUGAAAAGGAAGCAGAGAAAAGCAAAGACGAGAAGCAACGCUGUCACUGGAUUCGUUUAAGCGCUCGGGGAAAUCCAGGUGUUUUUGGAAGGCGUCUUGCCUUUUUUGAAGAGCUUUUCAAACUCUUGAAUACAAGCAGAAGCCAGAUUAAGCCUCUGGAAAUUUAAACCAGUAUUGUUUUUUUUGUUAUGCAUUUCUAGAUAGACAGAUAGAUAGAUAGAUAGAUAGAUGUUACAUACCUAUACGUGUGCUUCUCUACUAGGGGGGGAAAAUAAAAGUUUUUCCAGGGCAAUUUAAUUUAAAACAAAAAAAAAAUUCUACUGUGAAUUUUUUUUUUUUAAUAAAUCAUAAUGUGGACUCCCCUGGGUGUGUAAGAUCUAUCGCUGGAUACUUGAUGCAGUCUUUGCAAUACAACACAAGUUCGAUCAGCAAACACAAAGCGUUUGCUGCAGAGUCUCUUCCAAUAGGACCUUGUUUGUUUUGCGUCAAAGGAUGGAGCACAAGGAGGUGAAGUG